Small nuclear RNA from Diabrotica virgifera virgifera (western corn rootworm), 142 nucleotides. RefSeq annotates it as U4 spliceosomal RNA. Lineage: Eukaryota; Metazoa; Arthropoda; Insecta; Coleoptera; Chrysomelidae. The transcript has a single exon. The record is from RefSeq and is a predicted model, not a curated record.
AGCUUUGCGCAGUGGCGAUAUCGUAACCAAUGAGGUUUUUCCGAGGUGCGAUUAUUGCUAGUUGAAAACUUUAACCAUAUUAUUUAUAUCUUCAACGUGUUCUCAAUUUAAAACUGAAAAUAUUUUCUUAACCUUUUGAAAU